CCUUCGAUAGCUCAGUUGGUAGAGCGGAGGACUGUAGGUAUAUGGUUAAUAGUCAUCCUUAGGUCGCUGGUUCGAAUCCGGCUCGAAGGA
RNAcentral lists this transfer RNA (90 nucleotides) under Cervus elaphus hippelaphus. It matches the Rfam family "tRNA". Rfam says of the family: Transfer RNA (tRNA) molecules are approximately 80 nucleotides in length. RNAcentral also lists the same sequence under 1 other name. The record is from Rfam by way of RNAcentral. Lineage: Eukaryota; Metazoa; Chordata; Mammalia; Artiodactyla; Cervidae.